Molecule: non-coding RNA, 46 nt
Organism: Helianthus annuus (common sunflower)
Lineage: Eukaryota; Viridiplantae; Streptophyta; Magnoliopsida; Asterales; Asteraceae
Source: Rfam
AUACCGGAGUUCUUUAACUCCAUCUAUAUAAUUAAAUUAAAAACAU